CACCCCACCCCAACUACUCCAGCCUCUAUCUCCUCUCAAGGCCGCCCGCCCCACGCUGCCUCACCGCGGGUCCUCGAACUCAACGAAGGCGAAGGGAGGUCCCCCGCGGCGGUUCUUCAGGUCGAUGUCGCGGAUGGCGCCGUAUUUGUAAAACACGUCCUCAAUGUCCUUGGUUCGGAUGUCCGGAGGUAGGUUCCCCACGUAGAUGCGGCAGUCGUUGUUCCCCGCCGGGCCACGGAUCACACCACCUCCUGACAUGGCGGCGACGAAAAAAGGCGCGGACUCGAGAAGAGAGGCCUUCCCACCAAGCCUAGCGUACGGCAGAGCGAGCCCUCAGCGGCACCACGUCUCCCGCGGCCCGUCCAAAAUGGCGCCUUUAUCAGCUCGGCGCACUGAUAUGGGGGGGGAGGGGGGGGAGAGGAAGAGAAGCCGGAGGAAGCGGCCCGGCCGCCUCAGUGCGCACGCGCACGGGCCGUAACGGGUGCUGAGCGGGGCGCGCGCGCACGCACGCACGCACGCACGCACGCGCGACGUCACCCUCCGCACGGAGGGGAAAAAGUCCCUUGGCGGCCCGGGGCUUGUGGGAUGACUGCUGGGUAGCGGAGCGGCCAGGCGUUUGGUAAAAAAAAUGGCAGACUCUGGCGGAAGGGGUUGUUGACGCCUGCCGAGUCCAAGGGUCGUCUGUCUCCUCAAGCGUGAACCCUCUUUUAUGGCAGCCCGGCGCUCGGAUUUGGUGAAACCUAGCCUGCAACCGUGUCCCGCCAUGCUCCGCGGUGGUAACGGCCUUUGGCGGGAAAGGCGACGGGGGCGGAGCCAGAUGAUGCCGAGCUGUUGCUCCGGAAACCUGGGCAUCUUCAGCGCUUUGGGCUGGGCCGGCGGAGCUGCAGAGGACGAGAAAGGAAAAGCAAUGGAGUAGAUGCGAGGACUGUAACUUCUAGAGACAACGGUUGCAUCUCAGGGCUGAGAUUCGGCUUGUGUGCUAGACUAAGGAGAUAUAAGAACUUUUUUUGCAGAUUGUCUGAAAUAAGAAUAUUUAUAUUGGAUACCAAGAUUUUGCUUAUUUGUUUUGUAAUCACGGGAAUGGAAUUUAGGGCCUUAUGUGUGAACUCAUACGGGUUUUCAGCGUUAACGAAUUCGAAUUGGAAUAAGAGCAAAAACAAGAUGAACUUUGUAACUUGUGGCUUCAGUUUCAUCACUCCAGAAACUGAGGCAGGAGGAUCUAUGCUAGCCUGUGGUACACAGUUCUAGGUCAGCCGGAGCCAUGUAGGGAAACCCUUUAAAAUAAAAAAUUGGAAAAAAUAAA
Long non-coding RNA from Peromyscus eremicus (cactus mouse), 1303 nucleotides. RefSeq lists it as uncharacterized. NCBI's taxonomy places the organism in Eukaryota, Metazoa, Chordata, Mammalia, Rodentia, Cricetidae. The record is from RefSeq and is a predicted model, not a curated record. The transcript is spliced from 2 exons.